UCAGCUCUCUUUGCCUUUUGGCUUAGAUCAAGUGUAGUAUCUGUUCUUUUCAGUUUAAUCUCUGAAAGUGUUCUAAGGAACACAACAUUGAUUAUUCUCAUUUUUGGAUCGCGCACUGAAGUCUCUGUGCUUGCACAUGCUUCGGUGCACUGUGUCCUUGGUCUUACACUACCACCAAGUGACGCGAAUACUU
Talaromyces marneffei PM1 is the source of this 193-nucleotide non-coding RNA. NCBI's taxonomy places the organism in Eukaryota, Fungi, Ascomycota, Eurotiomycetes, Eurotiales, Trichocomaceae. The record is from Rfam.